Molecule: long non-coding RNA, 1138 nt
Organism: Cydia pomonella (codling moth)
Lineage: Eukaryota; Metazoa; Arthropoda; Insecta; Lepidoptera; Tortricidae
Exons: 3
Source: RefSeq, a predicted model, not a curated record
GCGAGUUGGUAACCUGCCAUCUGUAGAGUAAAAAGUGCCAAGUUUACUAGGCUACUCACCGCUAGAUAGCGCUGUGUUUUUAUUAACUACAGCGCCAUCUUUUAUCCUCUAUCCUCUCUUUAGUAUCAGGCUACCUUACGUACAAGGUGGCGUUUUUAACUUCAGCAUUGUUCGUAGCGGAUCUAUAUUAUAUUCGUAUAGUUAGGUGAUAUACUGAUAUCGCAUGAGCUAAUGUGCUUAACCUCAACUUGUUAGCUGUCAAAUUCUAUACUUUUUUUUGUAAACAAUUAAUGCGAACAUAUUUUUUGGACAAAUACGAAAAUGACACAGUCCAGUGCUCUAAAUUGCAAGAAUAACGGUGUACAAAAGAUUGAAAUCGAAACCUAGGAAGAAUGCCUUAAGAAUUAAAAACUUUACAGCAAAAGGCACAUCUCGUUUAUGUUCAAUGCAUUUGAAGUCAGAUGAUUCGGACAAAGCAAAUAAAACACGAGUUACGAGUCAAAAGAGAUUUUUUUUAAAGAAAACUGCAUUAUCAUCAAUUUCACGUCAGCGGCUUGAAAGAAGGUGCCAGAGAAAGUUACCAUUUGAACAAAAUGUAACUCCAUCAACAAGCCAUGAAACUCUAACUCUGUCAACCCAUGAAACAAACAAUGAAGUCAAAAUGUUCGCAAACUCCAUGGAAAUAGGCAGUGAAACAGAAAUUCUAAAAUAAUAUCCUAGGUGUGUAAGGCAGUAUGAAUGCAGAGAGUAGCUAAACUCGAUAGGCAAGCAAAGAAAUGUCACAGUGGCAUGGGUACCGGGACAUCAGGGAGUAACUGGAAAUGAGAAGGCAGACGAGCAGGCUAGGAAAGGGAUGGAGACGGAAUUCAUUGGUCCGGAACCAGCUUUGCCUAUGUCAGCCGAUGUACAUCUACAAGGCAGUAUGAAAUUCUUCACUUAACUAUGUGGAGACAGAAGCUAUACUAAGUAAUAUUUUAUAAUGUAUGCAAAGAUUUAAGUAUAAUUUUUAGUAAUAUUUGUAACUUCAUGCAUGUUACAAAUAUUACACUACACUUAAGUAACUAAAUUCAGAUACUAUACAAAUCUAACUGGUUCCCCGCGAUACAGGUCUCACUUAGUGCGGGAGUCCCUGGUAAAU